This is a non-coding RNA of Phrynosoma platyrhinos (Desert horned lizard), 72 nucleotides long. NCBI's taxonomy places the organism in Eukaryota, Metazoa, Chordata, Lepidosauria, Squamata, Phrynosomatidae. The record is from the annotation of a GenBank genome assembly.
GCCUGUGUGGUAUAGUGGUGAGAGCUUUGGACCACAACUCUCUAGACCAGGGUUCAAAUCCCUGCUCUGCCA